CCGCGGUAAUACGGAGGGUGCAAGCGUUAAUCGGAAUUACUGGGCGUAAAGCGCACGCAGGCGGUCUGUCAAGUCGGAUGUGAAAUCCCCGGGCUCAACCUGGGAACUGCAUUCGAAACUGGCAGGCUUGAGUCUUGUAGAGGGGGGUAGAAUUCCAGGUGUAGCGGUGAAAUGCGUAGAGAUCUGGAGGAAUACCGGUGGCGAAGGCGGCCCCCUGGACAAAGACUGACGCUCAGGUGCGAAAGCGUGGGGAGCAAACAGGAUUAGAUACCCUGGUAGUCCACGCCGUAAACGAUGUCUACUUGGAGGUUGUGCCCUUGAGGCGUGGCUUCCGGAGCUAACGCGUUAAGUAGACCGCCUGGGGAGUACGGCCGCAAGGUUAAAACUCAAAUGAAUUGACGGGGGCCCGCACAAGCGGUGGAGCAUGUGGUUUAAUUCGAUGCAACGCGAAGAACC
This 456-nucleotide ribosomal RNA is filed under the name Salmonella enterica subsp. enterica serovar Senftenberg. Its description in RNAcentral is "bacterial SSU rRNA". It matches the Rfam family "Bacterial small subunit ribosomal RNA", at positions 515 to 970 of the family's 1533-position model. Lineage: Bacteria; Pseudomonadati; Pseudomonadota; Gammaproteobacteria; Enterobacterales; Enterobacteriaceae. RNAcentral also lists the same sequence under 6 other names. The record is from RNAcentral.